GGACGAGGUGGACGAGGCCGAGGCGGCGGGGCUCAGGACCGCGCUGGCGGCGUGGUUCGAGGCCGCGCGCGGUCUC
This 76-nucleotide transfer RNA is filed under the name Acrocarpospora macrocephala. RNAcentral's name for it is "tRNA-Leu". The record is from RNAcentral. Lineage: Bacteria; Bacillati; Actinomycetota; Actinomycetes; Streptosporangiales; Streptosporangiaceae.